This 410-nucleotide ribosomal RNA is filed under the name uncultured bacterium. Its description in RNAcentral is "bacterial SSU rRNA". It matches the Rfam family "Bacterial small subunit ribosomal RNA", at positions 355 to 776 of the family's 1533-position model. The record is from RNAcentral.
UUGGGAAUAUUGGACAAUGGGAGCAAUCCUGAUCCAGCUACCCCGCGUGAGUGAUGAAGGCCUUCGGGUCGUAAAGCUCUUUUAGUAGGGACGAAGGGAAACUUGACGGUACCUACAGAAAAAGCACCGGCUAACUCUGUGCCAGCAGCCGCGGUAAUACAGAGGGUGCAAGCGUUGUUCGGAAUCAUUGGGCGUAAAGCGCGUGCAGGCGGUCGCCUCAGUCUGGUGUGAAAGCCCAGGGCUUAACCCUGGAAGUGCACUGGAUACUGGGUGACUAGAGGAUAUGAGGGGAGAUUGGAAUUCAUGGUGUAGGGGUGAAAUCCGUAGAUAUCAUGAGGAACAUCAGUGGCGAAGGCGAAUCUCUGGCAUAUAUCUGACGCUGAGACGCGAAAGCGUGGGGAGCAAACAGG